GUGUGGCCGUCCGUCUGUUAUUCAGUAUUGAGGGGGUCAUGUAUUCGUACGAGAACACAUAUGAAACUUUGCUUUCGAUAAUUUUGAAUAAAAACUUAACUAUUCACAUUUCUUUGGGGGCUCAAUUAAGCAGAGGAAGUUCCUUUUGUAUUGUGAAUCUUUUAAGAUAUCGGAAAUUCGUUACCGGCUGAAUCAGCUGUUGGAUCGUUUUUUUUAAGUCUCCCGAUCGUACGAGAACAUAAUUUAUGGUCAAUGCCUUAGUAGGUAAACACUCCCAUUCGUUGUAGCAGGGACUUUCUAUACUAAGUAUAUACUAGACUAGUAUAGAAAGUCCCUGGUUGUAGUUAUAUACAUGUCUGUUCAGCUUUCAACAAUAGUAUUGAAAUUCAAGAUCCUCGAUAAAAAAAAAAUAUCUUGCGUUCUAUUAUCUUGCUUUAUAUGUUUUUUGAACUUACCAGUUUCUAAAAAAAUAUCUUUAAAUACAGAUAAUAAUUGUUUGCAUGAAAAUUGCUCCAAGGAUCCAGCAAAACUGAUAUUUCUUAAAGUAAGGAAAUCGAAGGAAAACGGGUAAUUUUUAGCCAUAUCAUUUGAGAAAAAAAAUCCGCGGUCACAAUGUAUUUAAUGUUAACAAUUAUAGGUCAAAGUACGGCCUUCACGACGGAGCCUUGGCUCACCCCAAAUAGCAAUCUCAGCUUGUUUUUGCAUAAGUUUGAGUUGCUUCCAGGUUCAAGCAAUACUGAUGUUUCUUAAAGUAAGGAAAUCGAAGGGAAACGGG
Molecule: long non-coding RNA, 775 nt
Filed under: Mytilus galloprovincialis (Mediterranean mussel)
Lineage: Eukaryota; Metazoa; Mollusca; Bivalvia; Mytilida; Mytilidae
Source: RNAcentral